UACGUAGGUGGCGAGCGUUGUCCGGAUUUAUUGGGCGUAAAGCGCGCGCAGGCGGCUUCGUAAGUCUGUCGUGAAAUCUCCUGGCUCAACCGGGAGGGGGCGGUGGAGACUGCGGGGCUGGAGGGACCGAGAGGCCGGUGGAAUUCCCGGUGUAGUGGUGAAAUGCGUAGAGAUCGGGAGGAACACCUGUGGCGAAGGCGGCCGGCUGGGGGUUACCUGACGCUGAGGCGCGAAAGCGUGGGGAGCGAACCGG
Molecule: ribosomal RNA, 253 nt
Filed under: uncultured bacterium
Lineage: Bacteria
Description: partial 16S ribosomal RNA
Rfam family: Bacterial small subunit ribosomal RNA
Source: RNAcentral